Molecule: long non-coding RNA, 2333 nt
Organism: Helicoverpa armigera (cotton bollworm)
Lineage: Eukaryota; Metazoa; Arthropoda; Insecta; Lepidoptera; Noctuidae
Exons: 2
Source: RefSeq, a predicted model, not a curated record
UAGGAACAUUAUCAUAAUAUACAUACACAGGAGGAGGAAGACGCAUCCUAGAAAAAAGUACAACAGUACUUUUUGCGGUAGACAGCUCAAGACCAUUGUUAUCCAUCCAUUUCUUUAAAAGAGUGAGACCCGAUGACAAUGAAUCACAGGCCGUUGUAACAGAGUAAUUUGGGCAAUACAACAGAAGAUCAUCAGCAUAUUGGAGCACUUUCACUUCAUUAUUUAGAGAAGAUUCAAGAUCGUAAGUAUAAAUGUCAUAAAGUAGAGGACUAAGAACUGAACCUUGAGGGAGACCUCUCCACACGACUCUAGAUUCACAAGAAUCCUCGUGAGUAAGUUUUAUAUACCUCUCAGAUAAUAUAUUUAAAAUGAAAUUUACAAGCAUUAUAGGCACAUUUAACUGCAGAAGUUUAUAUUUUAACAUAGAAAUUACAACGUUAUCGUAAGCCGAAGUGAUAUCCAGAAAAGCUGAAACUAUGGAGUGAUUGGAAGAAAAUGCUAAUCUAAUGUCAGUGAUAAAGAUACUUAGACUAUCUAGGGUACUUUUACCACGCCUAAAACCAAAUUGACUUUCGCUUAAUAUUUUGUUACUUUCUAUAAACCAUUCUAAUCUAUUUUUAGCUAAGUGUUCCGAGAUCUUUAACAUUACAGAUGACAAAGCUAUUGGUCGAUAAGAUGAGCAGUCAGAAGGACUUUUGUUGGGUUUCAAAAUUGGAAGGAUAUCUUGCGAUUUCCAAGAAAUGGGAACCUUACCAGAAAUUACAAUUUGAUUAAUUAAUUUUAAGUAAUAUAAAAGAGAUAAAUCACUCAUAUUAGCCAGAAAAGAGUAAGGUAUACCAUCUGCACCUGGUGCAGAGUCUUUGAUUUGGUACAAAACACCUUUUAGCUCUUCUAAAGUAAAUGGAUUAUCGAGUACGCAGGGAGGAUCUGAUAAUGUGUAAGGCAUAUGAUACGCAGAUAUAUUAUCUGGGACGUAUGGGGGAGCUAAUUUAUCUAAAAAACUAUUUCUUAAUUGAGGUGGAAGGCAUGCAGUAACCGGUUCAGAGAAAACUGAUCUGAAUCUUCUUAUGUUGCGCCAAACAAGAGAAGGUUUAACAUUUGGUGAUAUGGAAAGACAAAAUGAUCUCCAGCCCUCAAACUUCUUUUUUUUUAAUAACUUUUUGGUGUCUGAAAUUACUUCACAUAAAAUGUCAAAAUUUUCUUCGGUAGAAUUUUCAAAGUAGAACAGUUCACACUGCUUUCUUUUGUGUAUAGCAUCUGUGCAAUCCCUAUCCCACCAUGGUGGCAAUGGGAUUUUGUUUUGUGAUUUUUUAUGAGGGAAAAGAUUAUCGGCAGUUUUUAUCAUGGCAUCUGAUAAAGCAUCAGCACAAGCCUGUUCAUUCCCACUUUGAAUUUCAGGAAGGCUAGAAACGAUUUUAUCCAAGUGUUCCCUAUACGUAUGCCAGUUUAUAUCAGUUAGUUUAUACUUCAACCGCGGAGGGCGACUGGAAUAAGAUUUUUGGCUGGAUGGAAAUUUUAAAACUAUGGGAAAAUGAUCACUACCAUAAGUAGAAGGCAUAACUUCCCAACUCAAAUGCGAGGCUAGUUUAUUAGUGCAUAGUGACAGGUCAGGUGCACUGGCACCUUCAUUUGGAGAUGUGCGUCGACACUACCCCAUACUUCAUGUUGAGAAUUAAAAUCCCCUAAAACUAUAAAUGGUUUGGGAAGAAGAGAUAAAAUAUUUACAAGUUCAUUAAAGAUUGAAGAAGAAGGACGAGGAAUAUAUACAGAAACGAAACAUAUACUAUCUACAACAGCUGCAAUUAUGGAGAAUGAAUUAUUAUGAGAUGGGAGUGAGAAAAGUGAAAAUGAAUGAUGAUGCCUGAUGAGUAAGGCUACACCGCCAUACCCAUCAGAACGGUCUUCCCUAAGACAGGCGUAGCCAGGGAUCUUAAACAAAGACCCUGGUUUAAGCCAUGUCUCUUGUAGGGCAAAAACUAUAGGUUUAAAAUUAUUGACAAGAUGUAUUAUAUCAGAUUUCUUAUUAAUUGCGCUUCGACAAUUCCAUUGUAUUGCCUUGGCUUUGUGUUCCAUUAUGAAUAUUCUUUUCAGAAACUGCAUUAAUUACAGUGGCAGCGAUGGUCGGUGAGAGGAGUUGAGUCUGGGUUAAAGAUUUAAUUAGUGCUAUGAUUAACUCAUUUACUGAGGCUGAUGAUAGAUCAUCUCUGGGGAUGAGAGCACAACCAUCUUUUGGUUGAGGCAGACCCCUAGCGAGUUCUUGAUGGAAUUGCUGAUCAUAACCUUUUGAAAACUGAGGGGGGGAACGAGGCUUAAUAAAUACAGUUUUUUUAUAA